This 1197-nucleotide ribosomal RNA is filed under the name uncultured organism. RNAcentral's name for it is "bacterial SSU rRNA". It matches the Rfam family "Bacterial small subunit ribosomal RNA", at positions 199 to 1426 of the family's 1533-position model. The record is from RNAcentral.
GAGUAAAGAUUUCGGUCGCUUUGGGAGGAGCUCGCUUACUAUCAGCUUGUUGGUAGGGUAAUGGCCUACCAAGGCUAUGACGGUUAGGGGGUGUGAGAGCAUGACCCCCAGCAUUGGCACUGAAACACUGGCCAAACACCUACGGGUGGCUGCAGUCGAGAAUCUUCCACAAUGGGGGAAACCCUGAUGGAGCGAUGCUGCGUGCGGGAUGAAGGCCUUCGGGUUGUAAACCGCUUUUGUAGGGGACGAAAUUUUUGACGGUACCCUUUCGAAUAAGAGGUUGCUAACUCUGUGCCAGCAGCAGCGGUAAUACAGAGACCUCAAGCGUUAUCCGGAUUUACUGGGCGUAAAGCGUCUGUAGGGGGUUUAUUAAGUUCCAAGUAAAAUUUCAAGGCUCAACUUUGAAUUCGCUUGGAAAACUAAUAAACUGGAGUCUAGCAGAGGUGCAUGGAACUUGUGGUGUAGGAGUGAAAUCCGUUGAUAUCACAAGGAACACCAAAGGCGAAGGCAUUGCACUGGGCUAGCACUGACCCUGAGAGACGAGAGCGUGGGGAGCAAAACGGAUUAGAUACCCGUGUAGUCCACGCCCUAAACGAUGAAUGCUAAAUGUUCGGGGAUUCGACCCCCUGGGUGUUACAGCUAACGCGUUAAGCAUUCCGCCUGGGAAGUACGGCCGCAAGGCUAAAACUCAAAGGAAUAGACGGGGAUCCGCACAAGCGGUGGAGCGUCUGGUUUAAUUCGACAGUAAGCGUGGUACCUCACCAGGGUUUGACAUCCCUUGACAGCCUUGGAAACAAGGUUUCCUUCGGGCAAGGUGACAGGUGCUGCAUGGUCGUCGUCAGUUCGUGCCGUGAGGUGUUCCGUUAAGUCGGGAAACGAACGAAACCCCUAUUGCAUGUUACAAUUUCUCAUGCAAGACUGCCCGGAUAUACUGGGAGGAAGGUGGGGAUGACGUCAGAUCUGCAUGGUCCUUAUACCCUGGGCGACACAGGCGCUACAAUGGCAGAGACAAAGGGUUGCAAAACCGCAAGGUGAAGCUAAUCCCAAAAACUUUGUCUAAGUUCGGAUUGAAGGCUGCAAUUCGCCUUCAUGAAGCUGGAAUCGCUAGUAAUCGUGAAUCAGCCACGUCACGGUGAAUAUGUUCCCGGAUCUUGUACUCACCGCCCGUCACACCAAGAGAGUUGGUAGCUCCCGAAG